GGCUUAGAGUUUGAUCAUGGCUCAGGACGAACGCUGGCGGCGCGCCUAACACAUGCAAGUCGAACGGAGUUAUAUUGGCAGAAGUUUUCGGACGGACGCGGAUAUAACUUAGUGGCGAACGGGUGAGUAACACGUGAGCAACCUACCCUUCAGAGGGGGACAACAGUUGGAAACGACUGCUAAUACCGCAUAAGACCACGGUGUGGCAUCACACAGAGGUCAAAGGAGAAAUCCGCUGAAGGAUGGGCUCGCGUCCAAUUAGCUAGAUGGUGAGGUAACGGCCCACCAUGGCGACGAUUGGUAGCCGGACUGAGAGGUUGAUCGGCCACAUUGGGACUGAGACACGGCCCAGACUCCUACGGGAGGCAGCAGUGGGGAAUAUUGCACAAUGGAGGAAACUCUGAUGCAGCGACGCCGCGUGAGGGAAGAAGGUCUUCGGAUUGUAAACCUCUGUUGUCAGGGACGAUGAUGACGGUACCUGACGAGGAAGCCACGGCUAACUACGUGCCAGCAGCCGCGGUAAAACGUAGGUGGCAAGCGUUGUCCGGAAUUACUGGGUGUAAAGGGAGCGCAGGCGGGAGAGCAAGUUGGGAGUGAAAUCUGUGGGCUCAACCCACAAAUUGCUUUCAAAACUGUUUUUCUUGAGUGGUGUAGAGGUAGGCG
RNAcentral lists this ribosomal RNA (663 nucleotides) under uncultured organism. RNAcentral describes it as "bacterial SSU rRNA". It matches the Rfam family "Bacterial small subunit ribosomal RNA", at positions 1 to 663 of the family's 1533-position model. The record is from RNAcentral.